RNAcentral lists this ribosomal RNA (461 nucleotides) under uncultured bacterium. RNAcentral describes it as "partial 16S ribosomal RNA". It matches the Rfam family "Bacterial small subunit ribosomal RNA", at positions 29 to 523 of the family's 1533-position model. The record is from RNAcentral.
AACGAACGCUGGCGGCACGCUUAACACAUGCAAGUCGAACGGAGUAUAGACUUCGGUUUAUACUUAGUGGCAAACGGGUGAGUAACGCGUGGGAAUCUGCCCAUCAGUGGGGAACAACUUCGGGAAACUGAAGCUAAUACCUCAUACGUCCUUAGGGAGAAAGACUUCGGUCGCUGAUGGAGGAGCCCGCGUUAGAUUAGGUAGUUGGUAGGGUAAUGGCCUACCAAGCCUACGAUCUAUAGCUGGUCUGAGAGGAUGGCCAGCCGCACUGGGACUGAGACACGGCCCAGACUCCUACGGGAGGCAGCAGUGGGGAAUAUUGGACAAUGGGGGAAACCCUGAUCCAGCGAUGCCGCGUGAGUGAAGAAGGCCUUCGGGUUGUAAAGCUCUUUCAGUGGGGAAGAUAAUGACGGUACCCACAGAAGAAGGACCGGCUAACUUCGUGCCAGCCGCCGCCGUAA